CCUACGGGCGGCUGCAGUGGGGAAUAUUGGACAAUGGGGGGAACCCUGAUCCAGCCAUGCCGCGUGUGUGAAGAAGGCCCUCGGGUUGUAAAGCACUUUCAGUGAGGAAGAACGCCUGGUGGUUAAUACCCAUCAGGAAAGACAUCACUCACAGAAGAAGCACCGGCUAAACUCCGUGCCAGCAGCCGCGGUAAUACGGAGGGUGCGAGCGUUAAUCGGAAUUACUGGGCGUAAAGCGCGCGUAGGUGGCUUGAUAAGCCGGUUGUGAAAGCCCCGGGCUCAACCUGGGAACGGCAUCCGGAACUGUCAAGCUAGAGUGCAGGAGAGGAAGGUAGAAUUCCCGGUGUAGCGGUGAAAUGCGUAGAGAUCGGGAGGAAUACCAGUGGCGAAGGCGGCCUUCUGGACUGACACUGACACUGAGGUGCGAAAGCGUGGGUAGCAAACAGGAUUAGAUACCCUGGUAGUC
RNAcentral lists this ribosomal RNA (466 nucleotides) under Vreelandella stevensii. RNAcentral's name for it is "partial 16S ribosomal RNA". It matches the Rfam family "Bacterial small subunit ribosomal RNA", at positions 338 to 795 of the family's 1533-position model. Lineage: Bacteria; Pseudomonadati; Pseudomonadota; Gammaproteobacteria; Oceanospirillales; Halomonadaceae. The record is from RNAcentral.